This 309-nucleotide long non-coding RNA is filed under the name Nicotiana benthamiana. Its description in RNAcentral is "long non-coding RNA (NBEN_LNC023822)". The record is from RNAcentral. Lineage: Eukaryota; Viridiplantae; Streptophyta; Magnoliopsida; Solanales; Solanaceae.
UUCUUUCAUUCCAUCAGAAAUAUUGACGUUCCUUUACCAUUAAACGGGUCUGAACGUGUAAAUUACACGAAAUGCUUUUUGACAAAAUAACAUUAAGCUGUACAGCAAAGCAAAGCAAAAGCAGCAACCGCUUAACAUCAGCUCAAUGGUCCUUAAAGUAAGAACCAUGACUGAUUAUUUCUAUUUAUCACACGGCUGUCAGGUUUUAUCAUUUGACUAAACAUUAUAUCGGUGCAAUAUUACACAAUUUGUAUUUGUAUAGAAAACCAAAGAGCAUUCAUCCUUCUUCACCGAACUCCUUUGUGAAUC